This 250-nucleotide ribosomal RNA is filed under the name uncultured bacterium. RNAcentral's name for it is "partial 16S ribosomal RNA". It matches the Rfam family "Bacterial small subunit ribosomal RNA", at positions 524 to 773 of the family's 1533-position model. The record is from RNAcentral.
UACAGAGGGUGCAAGCGUUAAUCGGAAUUACUGGGCGUAAAGCGUGCGUAGACGGUUAUUUAAGUCGGGUGUGAAAUCCCCGGGCUCAACCUGGGAAUUGCAUUCGAGACUGAAUAGCUAGGGUUCGGAAGAGGGAAGCGGAAUUUCCGGUGUAGCGGUGAAAUGCGUAGAUAUCGGAAGGAACAUCAGUGGCGAAAGCGGCUUCCUGGUCCAGAACCGACGUUCAGGCACGAAAGCGUGGGGAGCAAAC